AGUGAACGCUGGCGGCAGGCCUAACACAUGCAAGUCGAACGGCAGCACAGAGGAGCUUGCUCCUUGGGUGGCGAGUGGCGGACGGGUGAGGAAUACAUCGGAAUCUGCCCAGUCGUGGGGGAUAACAUAGGGAAACUUAUGCUAAUACCGCAUACGACUACGGGUGAAAGCGGGGGAUCGCAAGACCUCGCGCGAUUGGAUGAGCCGAUGUCCGAUUAGCUAGUUGGCGGGGUAAUGGCCCACCAAGGCGACGAUCGGUAGCUGGUCUGAGAGGAUGAUCAGCCACACUGGAACUGAGACACGGUCCAGACUCCUACGGGAGGCAGCAGUGGGGAAUAUUGGACAAUGGGCGCAAGCCUGAUCCAGCCAUGCCGCGUGGGUGAAGAAGGCC
Molecule: ribosomal RNA, 391 nt
Filed under: uncultured bacterium
Lineage: Bacteria
Description: bacterial SSU rRNA
Rfam family: Bacterial small subunit ribosomal RNA
Source: RNAcentral